Molecule: ribosomal RNA, 323 nt
Filed under: uncultured eukaryote
Lineage: Eukaryota
Description: partial 18S ribosomal RNA
Rfam family: Eukaryotic small subunit ribosomal RNA
Source: RNAcentral
CCCUUAGAUGUUCUGGGCCGCACGCGUGCUACACUGAACGGUUCAAUGGGUAAGGUAGUGCGAAAGCAUGACCUAAUCUCGAAAUCCGUUCGUGCUGGGGAUAGAAGCUUGCAAUUAUCCUUCUUGAACGAGGAAUACCUUGUAAGCGUGAGUCAUCAUCUCACGCUGAAUACGUCCCUGCCCUUUGUACACACCGCCCGUCGCUCCUACCGAUUGGGUGUUCCGGUGAGGCUUUGGGAGAAUGGCCUCAACAUGAGUUUAUCGUGUUUUGCCGUUUGAACUUAGUCAAACCUUAUCACUUAGAGGAAGGAGAAGUCGUAACA